GGACUUGAUGACCUUUCAAAGUCCCUUCCAGUUCUAUGAGAUAGGUAUAUCUCCAUAUAUAUUAUCCAGUUAGGCUGUUUUGAUGUAAAAAUGCAGCUAACCUUGCCAGGUGGGCAUUUUGCUUUUCUGCUUUGUCCUGCCAAUCACAGCUGCUAGUAAAAGUGUAUGUCCUGCUUUUUUUCAUGGUGGUUGUUGGGUCAGGUGAGUAAAAGAUUUGCUUAGCAACAACAUUUUAAGGAUGCAUUUCCUUCAGAAAUUAAAAAAAAUCUUUCAGUGAGGAUUAAAGCAGAUUCUAGUAUAACUUUAGGCUAUGAUCUUGGAAAGACACAGACACUUAACUUUAUACGCUAUGAGCAGUGGCUGUGCACAAGUCUUUUUAAGAUUGGAGUCUGAGGUUUUUUGAGUAAUCCACUGUGAGAAUCAUAGUUGAAUGUAUGCACAAGGUUUAAUGGGGCUUCAGUAGCAUUCGCAAGAACAAUAUGUUGGAAGUAUUACAAGGAAACUAGAAUUUUCACUCUGCUUCUCCACUCAGUGAUUAAGAAGCCUUAAAAUCCAUGCAUUCUUUACAGUCCAGGACACAACUUUAUGGAUUGGUAUUUAACAAAAUUUCUCAAUCUUUUUUUCCUAACAGAGUUAAAAAUGAGAACACAGGUAAAGUAAUAAUCUAAAUUAUAGAGCAACAUCCAUUAUAUAAUAACAAAAGUCCCUAAAAUAAGUCAGCCUUAUUUGUAUUAAUCAAAUGCUGAGAAAUUUACUAAUGCUACCCCAGAAAUUACUGUAAUUAACUGUCUUCUGCACCUACUCCAAUCACUGUGGACUUUAAAAUAACAAACCCUUUUGUUUUCACAGAAGCCUGAAGCCACAAAGGGAAAGCAGCUGGUGUAGAGAAACAAAAUAGCACCAUAGUCCAGUAUCUCCCUCUACAACUUCAACUCAGGCAUCAGAUGGCUCUCCUCUUGUUCCUCCCUCUCUGACAGUCUGGCUGCAAGCUAACAGCCGACAGAAUUCCAGCAAACCAUGAUGAGUCUACUUUGACAGCUUCCCAUUUGUCAGGAAGCCGUCUGAAUGAAACUGGAGAAAAAGAAUUCAAGCUUUCCUUGGCAUUUUUCGCAAAGGGAACAUAAAAUCACUCUUGAUAAAGGAAGAUCAACUCUAGCAAUUAUAAUAAAGUAUGUGUCUCCCUCUCUACUAUGUGAUUUAAAACAUUAAGCAUAUGUGUUCCUGUCUUGUAACUCUCACUGAUUCAAUCCCCAGUAAUAUAUUGACAGAAGAUAAUUUCAGAUUAAAAGUAAAAUAUAAAUUCUU
Chelonoidis abingdonii (Abingdon island giant tortoise) is the source of this 1305-nucleotide long non-coding RNA. RefSeq lists it as uncharacterized. The record is from RefSeq and is a predicted model, not a curated record. Lineage: Eukaryota; Metazoa; Chordata; Testudines; Testudinidae.